GAGACAGCAGUCGCCGCGUUAAUACGGAGGAUCCAAGCGUUAUCCGGAAUCAUUGGGUUUAAAGGGUCCGUAGGCGGUCUUGUAAGUCAGUGGUGAAAGCCCAUCGCUCAACGGUGGAACGGCCAUUGAUACUGCAGGACUUGAAUUAUUGGGAAGUAACUAGAAUAUGUAGUGUAGCGGUGAAAUGCUUAGAGAUUACAUGGAAUACCAAUUGCGAAGGCAGGUUACUACCAAUUGAUUGACGCUGAUGGACGAAAGCGUGGGUAGCGAACAGGAUUAGAUACCCCUGUAGUCCCUGUCUCUUAUAC
This 308-nucleotide ribosomal RNA is filed under the name uncultured bacterium. RNAcentral's name for it is "partial 16S ribosomal RNA". It matches the Rfam family "Bacterial small subunit ribosomal RNA", at positions 505 to 807 of the family's 1533-position model. The record is from RNAcentral.